GACGAACGCUGGCGGCGUGCUUAACACAUGCAAGUCGAACGAUGAAGCCCAGCUUGCUGGGUGGAUUAGUGGCGAACGGGUGAGUAACACGUGAGUAACCUGCCCUCCACUCUGGGAUAACUCCGGGAAACCGGUGCUAAUACUGGAUAUGACUUCCGACCGCAUGGUUGGGGGUGGAAAGAUUUAUCGGUGGUGGAUGGACUCGCGGCCUAUCAGCUUGUUGGUGGGUAAUGGCCUACCAAGGCGACGACGGGUAGCCGGCCUGAGAGGGUGACCGGCCACACUGGGACUGAGACACGGCCCAG
This 305-nucleotide ribosomal RNA is filed under the name uncultured bacterium. RNAcentral describes it as "bacterial SSU rRNA". It matches the Rfam family "Bacterial small subunit ribosomal RNA", at positions 28 to 334 of the family's 1533-position model. The record is from RNAcentral.